Long non-coding RNA from Cynoglossus semilaevis (tongue sole), 184 nucleotides. RefSeq lists it as uncharacterized. The record is from RefSeq and is a predicted model, not a curated record. Lineage: Eukaryota; Metazoa; Chordata; Actinopteri; Pleuronectiformes; Cynoglossidae. The transcript is spliced from 3 exons.
CAUCACAGGAAAUCAAUACAUCUACCAGGAAGUGUGGAACCUUUUCCAGCAAAUCAGUGUGAAGGCCAGUUCAGUGGUUUACUCCGCCACCAAAGACUACAGAGAUCAAGGCUACAGGCAUUGUUCUUUGGCUGUGAUAAAUGCUUUAGCUAAUAUCGCAGCCAACCUGCAUUGGGAGCAGCUG